CAGCUUAUGUCUGAAUAAUAAAAAGUUUCCCUUUCACUUUCAACUCUAUUACAUGAGCUCCAAAUUCAGUCUAUUUUUGCAAGGAAAAUAUAUAAUAUCACUAUUUGAAGAAAAACGGAAGCUGAAAGGACGAAGAAGCUUCAUAAUUCUGCUUUAAACUUGAUUUUGCUUACUUCACCUGUGUUGUUUGAUCUUUGGGAUCAUAUUAAACAAUCACUGGUCAAAGAUGCUGGGAGAGACUUGUCUCUUUCUUUGUACGCAUCUUGGUGCCAUUCGCCAAUGACAAUGAUAAGCCUCUGCCCAUUAGCUCAGGUAAGCUUUACAGCCUGCAAGUUUUCAGGUAUUCCUCAUACCUGUAUCAAGCAUUUGUUCCCUUUUUUUCAUACAAAAUAUAUAAAUGAGCUCCAUCCUUGUAACUGUCAUAUCAGUAUGCAAGUUCUGUUAUUUAGUAUUUGGUUGAAAAAGAUUUCUAUGUGAAGUUCUUAGUGCAACUACAUAAGUUGAUCCACCUUUUAGAGACUCCAACCUUUACUUACUUAGGAUACUGGUGUUUUAAAUUGUAAAAUGUUCAGAAUGGUGAAUUCGGAUACCGUCCUAGUACCUCCUCCCGUUGAUAUAUUUCUUUGUAGUGGGUUGUGAAAUUUGUUCUGUUUUCAUUUGCUUAAGGUUGUUUUUAGGGCGUAUGUUUUUUUUUUAAGAACCUAAGAACUUAUUCCAGUAGAAAGAUUUAGUUUUGGUCCUUUUGAAUGUACAUAUAGAUGGAUCCGUGUCAUCCCAGUAUCGUUGUUUUCAUUCAGACCCUGAAGCAAUUCUUGUUGUUUUCCAAGAAUUUUGUCAUGUAGAACCAAAUCAUUUCGAAUACAUCCCACAUGUACUCAGAGGCAUCGCCACUAUAUGGGUCAGGUUUUGGUGCAGAAUGUUCAAAUUGAGUCAUUGCGAUCCAUGGAGGGUUUGCCCAAGUGUUCUGCAAAUUAUGUUCCUUUGACACGCAUAAAUUUCUUAGAGAGAACAGAAAAUGUGUUUACAUUAACAACUUCUAUCAUUGAUGGACCUUCUGUCAAGUACACUUGGGAAGAGACAAAUGCUAGGUGUAUAAAGCUUGCUUCUGCUUUGUCUGACCUUGGCAUUUCUCGUAAAGAUGUGGUAACUUUCUAAAUUCUAACACAUUCUCAGUUGCACCUUAUGUCUCAAUUUAUGUUGUACACUUUCCUUUUUAGUCGGUGUUAAAAAGAAUGACACGUUUCUUUAUUUGAUAAAUAUUUAAUGACACUAUCAAAUUUUAGCUGAGUCAAAACUUAGGUGGUUUGUUCUUAUCUGCCCGAAUCUUGGCAGAUAGAGUUUUUCAGAUAGUAGGUAUCCAUUGGAAUAGUCGAGGUGUGGACGUGUUGCCAGAUAUUGUUGUAAUCUCCAUAGAGAGACCUUAAGCUUCUCUCUGAACAAUUGAGAAUUAUUUUUACUUCUAUUGACUGCAAAGCUGGCAGUAAAACAAAGAGGAAAAUAAAGAGUUAAUCAUAUUUGACAGUUGCCUACUUAACUGAAAAUAUUUAUCAGGUAAAUAAAGAGUUUUGGUUAUUACCUUGACUCUUUACUCUAUCAAAGUGCUUCUUUGUGUCAUGCUAAAAGAGUUCAAGGUAAUAACCAUGACAGAGAUGGAUAGAGAAAGGAGGAGAAAAUGUUACCUUUGUAAUGUUGUUAGUCAUUUGAUAUCUCCUCUGUUGUGUUAGCUGAUUGUUUGUCGCUUUUACUCCCCACUCUUCCCAAUCUCACUUUGUAGGAAUACAUUGACUAUGUUGUUGUUAUUGUAUUUCUUUUCCCAAAAUAUGGUGUACUAUGUUGUCUUGAGUUGUGUAUUGAGGUUUCCUUUCCUCUUGAUAUAUUAUAUGUCUAUCAGAUAUGUUACAUGCUCUAGCAGAAUAUUAGAAGUUUUUAUUAGUUAGCUUUCUUAAAUGACUUGUUCAGUUCUUCAUUCUUCACUCAUAUUUAUCUUUGAUUCAAAAUAAGGAUAUGUCUCAAUCUAGGUCACGCAGUGCAAUUAACAACUCAGGCCAUGUCAACAAUUAGGUGCAGAACGAUAUGUUGGGCGGGAUGGGUCGGGCCAUGUUAUAUUUACCUCUUUCUAUUUCUUCUUUCAUUGCACUACAGUUACCAUUUGGCUGUUGCUACUUCAAUGGGAAGGACUCACCAUAUGGUUCAAAUGGACGGCUCAAGGAAUAGCUCAUCCACCAAUGAACGUUCCACAUUUUUUAGGGUUUCCAACUCAUGAUAAUUCAUCUCUGUAAUACCCCAUAAAAUCCUAAGUCCGAAAUUCAGCUCGUUUAGCUCUUAAAACUCUUUAAAAGAUUCAACACUUAGAAAAUUUUGGCAAGUAUUCCAACACUUAGCCUAUUUGGCAAUUUGCAUGCGUCGUAUGCUCUAUAGCAUGCUUCAGAAAUUUUCAACAUUUCAGGGUCAAUUUUAAACGAUCAUAACUUCCUGUAUAUAUUUAACUGUGAGAGAUGCUAUAUAUAAAUGGAAAUCUCUUUGAGUCCUCUUUCCAAUGCAAUUGGUAUCAUCCAAUUUGAACAUCGAAGUAAAAAGUUAUGAUCAAUUUACUUCAGCCUAUCAGACAGUCAACGGAGAGACAGCUGCGUCUUUCUCUCUUUCUUUAGGGGCAUUUUGGUCAUCUUCCACCCCUAUAUAUACCCCUUAACACCGAAUUAAGCCUCAUUUUCAGAAAAAUAUACUCCUUUUCACUAAUUUCUCUCAAGAACAAUAAGAGGGGUUUUCAAUUGAGGAUCCAAAUUCUAGAAUUUUCCUCGUCAAUCUUCGUAAAAUCAAGAAUUAAGGUAUGCGUAGUGUUCAUCCAUAGAUUCCUUUCAUCCAUGGAGCUCAAGAAUCAAGUUUUAAAUUAUGUAUUGUGAAUACUUUGUUGUGGUAUGAUUAUGUUCAUGUUGAUGGUUGUUGUAUGGUUUCAAGUUGGAAUUUUUAUGUAUUUUCAUGAAGCUAUGUUAGUUAGUAUGUAAGUUGAAAUCUAUGAAAUUAGUUGUUUAUGAUAUCUAUAUUGUUGGAUGUUGAUAAUCAAGUUGUUGAUGUUGAAUGAUUCCCAAGUUGGAAUCUUUAAUUGUUAUUAUGAAUCUAUGACACCAUGUGAGUUGAAAACAUGUAAAACUUGGUUGUUCAUGAUGUAAAAUCUUAUGGUUUCACCUAUGCCUAAAUUAUGCAUGCAAGGUGUUCGAUGAAAUGCCUAGAAUAAUAAUAAUCACAUUUUCAUGACUUGAGAGUACCAAGUAACAAGUUCAUGCUCUAUGCUUUAUGAUUCUACAUGAAUUCCAUGUUAUUGAUGUAUUGUGGUGGUGAUAUGUAGUGAACAUGAUGUUGAAGUUAAGAAAGUACUUCCAUGUUGAAUGUAUCCCCUCUCACGUACGAAAUGUUGAGAACCAUGUGUAGUAUUGAAUCCCAUACUUAUGAUAUUGUGAAUUGUGGACUCUAUUCCUAUGAACAAGUCAGUCAUGUGUGUCGGUUUCUUUCCAUCGAGUCCUGGGGCUACUUGUACCUGAAAAAUAUAGCUGUGUGCCUAGAGCCAUGUUAUGUUUUCAUGAUAUCCAUAGUCAAGCCAUGUUUUAUAGAACGCAGUCAGUCAUGUGACUCAGGAAAAAUGCAGUAACUCAGUAUUCUCAGAAAUCUCAUGAACUCAGUCAGUUGUAAGUAGUAUUUCGUCAGUCAACGGAACUCUGUAACUCAGCUCAGUAUUCAUGUUCAGUAUCUAUUCAGAUGGGAGUAGGAUUCAACACCGAGCGAACCCCGGGAUGAGAAUCCACACUGCCAGAUUGAGGGUGAGAUUCCUAGAAGCAAUCCUUGCGUUCCAGAACUACGUAGCCAGCAUAGGUUGAGACAUCAACACUACUAACUUUAGAGUUGAUAAGGCAGAUACCCUCCGUUCUCUUAUGGGGACACUGCCAGAUUUGAGGGUCACUCACAGCUUGUCUUUACCCGUGGCACGGUAUUAGCACCCUUUCAAUUAGGGAACCGAUUGGACCCCGAUUUAGCUAUUGAAGCACAUUCGGGGCAUGUCGAUUAGAUGAAUUCUCCCACAGUUACAGUUUCAGUAUUAGUCUCAGUAAAAGAAUUCAGACAGUUCAUCAGAAUAUCAGGACUGUCAGAUACAGUCAACUCAAUUACAGUACGAAACUCAGCUAGUUCCACCAGCAUUAGACUCUCAGUUACAGUCACUUAUGUUGUCAGUUAUUAGUAUCAUGUUAUGAAAAUUUCAGUCUCGUAAUCAUGUAUGUAUUCUCACAUUCAUAUUAGUCAGUUAAUAUUAGUCAGUUAGUAUAGUUCAUGUAUAUGAACCCUUUGCAUAUAGCUUACUUCACUCGUAUACUCGGUACAUUCAAUUGUACCGACGCAUUUGUGCUAUGGUGCUUUCUCUUAUGUUACACCAUAGGUUCAGAGGCACAAGCUUCGGAGCAGCAGUAGUUGACCAGUUCCAGCUUUCAGCGUCAGUGAAGCCCUUAUAGUUCGUCUUUGACACCAAGCCAAGGGAGAGCUGGACCAUCGGAGUUCCAUUCAUUAUCAGAGUCCUUGAAAUCUCGAUUUAGUUCUCUGUCAAUGAAAUAUAAAGAAUCCAUCUCAAAGAAUACACGAGGGUGGAAGGAGAGAUUGUUUUCUCGAUGUUCUUAAAUGCCAAAUGCUAGUUCUUCUAGGAGUGAGGCAGAUGUUGGAAUUGCUGGUGUAUCUUAACUAAUAAAACGCCUUGAAACUUAAGAAAAUAGUAGAGUUGGUUCUGUUCCAUCUAACUACUAUAGUGGAUUCUUAACACACGCUCCAGAGAGACCAUGCUAAUAUGGGAAAUCAUAUUGCAAAUGGUUUGAAUAGAAAGUCAACAACACCUACUGCAAGUUCAGCUCUGAAUUAAGUCUUCUAUUUAAGCAUUUACCUGGAAUUUGUCCUCAUCAUUUCAUCUUUGAAUGUGGAACAGAUUUAGCGUUGGCUAAAAAUAGAAUGUCUGGUGCUAAAAAAAUACUUCUAUUGAGUAGCAUGUCGAAGUUAGGGAAGACUCAUCAGCAAAGGUUGUUAGUCAGUUGUUGGAUUUCAAACCAUCGAGAUGGAACAGAUUCAGCGUUGGCUAAAAUCAGAAUGUCUGUUACUAAAAAACACUUUUAUUGAGUGGCAUUUCGGGGUUAGGGAAUACUCAUCAACAAAGGUGGUUAGUCAGUUGCUGGAUUUCAAACCAUUGAGAAUUUUCAAGCACUUGACACGUUUUGCAGUAAAAUUUAUCGCCAUCUUUGCAACUCAGGUUCUGAGUUUGAAAUACAAUUUGAAUUCAAUGCUAUAGUUUGUUUUUGAAUAGCAGAGAUAAUGAUAAGUUAUUAUUUAGUGUUUAUCAUUAAAAAAAAUUUUAGUUGAGGAUACAUUUUUUGUCGUAAAAUAUCAGUAAAAGUUACUAAAAGUUACUGCUUACUUUAUAUUUAGUAGAGUUAAUAUUUAUUAGAGAUAAUGAUAAGCUAUUAUUUAGAGUUUAUCAUUAAAAAAUAAUUUAGUUGAUACGUUUUUGGUUGAAAAAUAUCAGUAGAAGUUAC
Capsicum annuum is the source of this 5558-nucleotide RNA transcript. It is a transcript of the gene named probable acyl-activating enzyme 21, with no coding region annotated. The transcript has 8 exons. NCBI's taxonomy places the organism in Eukaryota, Viridiplantae, Streptophyta, Magnoliopsida, Solanales, Solanaceae. The record is from RefSeq and is a predicted model, not a curated record.